CAAGCUGACCGGGCGGUCGCGGGGCCGGCCACAGGCUGGCCCUGAGGAAAGUCCGCGCUCCACAGAGCACGGUGCUGGCUAACGGCCAGGCGGGGCGACCCGACGGCAUAGUGCCACAGAGAGGUGUAUUGCCUAAGCUGACCCCGCAAGGGGCCAGACGGCGAGGGUGAAACGGUGGUGUAAGAGACCACCGGCGUCCCUGGUGACAGGGGCGGCCAGGCAAACCCCACCGGGAGCAAGGCCAAGCAGGCGCGAUGGGGCUGCUCGUCCCGCGCCGGGUAGGCUGCUUGAGGCGGCGGGCAACCGUCGUCCCAGAUAGAUGACCGCCGCAUCCCCGCCGGGGAUGACAGAACGCGGCUUACAGGUCGGCUUGAGCG
RNAcentral lists this RNase P RNA (377 nucleotides) under Anaerolineae bacterium. RNAcentral describes it as "RNase P RNA component class A". It matches the Rfam family "Bacterial RNase P class A". From Rfam's summary of the family: Ribonuclease P (RNase P) is a ubiquitous endoribonuclease, found in archaea, bacteria and eukarya as well as chloroplasts and mitochondria. Its best characterised activity is the generation of mature 5'-ends of tRNAs by cleaving the 5'-leader elements of precursor-tRNAs. Lineage: Bacteria; Bacillati; Chloroflexota; Anaerolineae. The record is from RNAcentral.